UCGCAUCUGUGCAUGCAGCAUAUCAAUAAGCGGAGGAAAAGGAACUAACAAGGAUUCCCUUAGUAACGGCGAGUGAAGCGGGAGAGCUCAGAUUUGAAAUCUUCAAGGUUUUACCUUGACGAAUUGUAGUUUAAAGAAGUGUUUUCUGUUGAAGUUUUGGUAAAAGUUCUUUGGAAUAGGGCAUCAUAGAGGGUGAGAAUCCCGUAUUUGACCAUUAUUUUCAGCUGUGUGAUACACUUUCAAAGAGUCGGAUUGUUUGGGAAUGCAGUCCAAAAUGGGUGGUAAAUUUCAUCUAAAGCUAAAUAUUGGCGAGAGACCGAUAGCGAACAAGUACCGUGAGGGAAAGAUGAAAAGAACUUUGAAAAGAGAGUUAAACAGUACGUGAAAUUGUCAAAAGGGAAGCGUUUGACACCAGUGUUGGUUUCUCGAAAAUCAAUUAAAAAGAGUUAGAUUUUGUUGUGUAUUGACCUUAACAGCUUGCAUUUCAAUUUUCUUGCUUUUUUUAAUGCACUUUUCGUUUAACAAGUCAACAUCAGUUUCUUUUGUUGUAAAAAGGUCAUUGGAAGGUGGCUUUCUUUUCGGAGAAAGUGUUUAUAGCCUUUGACUCCUGCAAUCGGAGAGACUGAGGUCUGCAGCGUAGAUCCUUCGGGGUUAGAUACAUUUGUGCUAAGUUAUAGCUUUUUAUAGACAACUUGUUGACUAUGAUUAGUCUUGUAGCUUACUCGCUUAUGCUAUUUUACCUACGCUUAGGAUGUUGACGCGCGUGUGUGCGUG
Molecule: ribosomal RNA, 774 nt
Filed under: uncultured Neocallimastigales
Lineage: Eukaryota; Fungi; Neocallimastigomycota; Neocallimastigomycetes; Neocallimastigales
Description: partial large subunit ribosomal RNA
Rfam family: Eukaryotic large subunit ribosomal RNA
Source: RNAcentral